GGAAGUCCAGGUUCGGCCGCCGAACCUCAUGUUCGGCCGCCGAACCUUGCAUGCAUGCGGAGGCACAUUCGGCCCCCGAACGUGGUUUGGCCAGCCACUAUAAAAGGGUCCCUUAGCCGAAAACGGGCGAGUUUUUCCCCACUUUCGGCCAAGGUGAGCUUUCCGCCGCCCCUCACCCAUUUUUGAUGUUCUUCCUCUAAAUCUUUCAAGAUUUUCACUUGUUUUCCCUUGGUUUUGAAGAUUUAAGCUUUUGAAACAAGUUUUGGAGCUUGGAAGUCUUGGAGCUAAAUCCCUCCAUUUUCCGAGCUAGGGUCGUUCUUCCUCUCGAUCUUCAAGAGGUAAGCUUCGAUCUAUGCUUCUUUUAUGUUUUAUGAAAGUUUUAUGCAAGUUGAUGGGGUAGUAUGCAUGUUUAGGCUUGUUGUUAGGUUUAUGUUGUGUUUUGAACAAUGUAUGUUUGAAGUGUUGUAGUUGGGGUAUAUAAUAGUUUGAGACCCCUAGAUGUGAUGUAUGAUGUGUAUGCAUGUGUAGAAACAAGUUUAUGCAUGUUUUGAGGCGUUUUGGAGGCUAUGGACACAAGGGAGCCAAGUUUCUGCCCUUCGGCAGAAACUCAGGUUCGGCCGCCGAAGUGACUUUCGGCCGCCGAACCCCCUUGUGGAGGCAGUUUCGGCUGCCGAAGCCUGCCCCCGAAACUCAAGUUUCGUCUCUGUCUGGGAGGUUCGGCCGCCGAAAGUGCCACCGAACCUGCAUGACUUUCGGCUGCAGAGGGACUUUCGGCCGCUGAACCUGCCGCCGAAAGUGCCCUGUUCAGCCGUUUCUCGCAUGUUUUCAUGUGAUGUUUUCAGGAUGUUUUAGGGGGUUUUUGGGGAGUAUUUUAGAGUCAUGUUCAUGUAUGUUUAGUCCCUCAUUUGAGUCCACCUGUGUAGGUUCGGACCCGAGGAACCGAGACCCCCAGCAGUGAGCCAGCUGCUUCAGAGUCUCUUCAGAGCUAGCCAGAG
Molecule: long non-coding RNA, 995 nt
Filed under: Manihot esculenta (cassava)
Lineage: Eukaryota; Viridiplantae; Streptophyta; Magnoliopsida; Malpighiales; Euphorbiaceae
Description: long non-coding RNA (MESC_LNC007031)
Source: RNAcentral